RNAcentral lists this ribosomal RNA (467 nucleotides) under uncultured bacterium. Its description in RNAcentral is "bacterial SSU rRNA". It matches the Rfam family "Bacterial small subunit ribosomal RNA", at positions 329 to 794 of the family's 1533-position model. The record is from RNAcentral.
GCCCAGACUCCUACGGGAGGCAGCAGUGAGGAAUAUUGGUCAAUGGUCGGGAGACUGAACCAGCCAAGCCGCGUGAGGGAUGAAGGUACAGAGUAUCGUAAACCUCUUUUGUCAGGGAACAAAGGCGGGGACGUGUCCCCGGAUGAGUGUACCUGAAGAAAAAGCAUCGGCUAACUCCGUGCCAGCAGCCGCGGUAAUACGGAGGAUGCGAGCGUUAUCCGGAUUUAUUGGGUUUAAAGGGGGCGCAGGCGGUCUUUAAAGUCAGGGGUAAAGGCCCGGGGCCCAACCCCGGCCUGCCGUUGAAACUGGCAGUCUCGAGUUGGAGAGAAGUAUGCGGAAUGCGCGGUGUAGCGGUGAAAUGCAUAGAUAUCGCGCAGAACUCCGAUUGCGAAGGCAGCAUGCCGGCUCCACACUGACGCUGAGGCACGAAAGCGUGGGUAUCGAACAGGAUUAGAUACCCGAGUAAG